AAGUCGUAACAAGGUUUCCGUAGGUGAACCUGCGGAAGGAUCAUUAACGAUUGCUUUGAGAUGUGCUGGCAUGCAGGUGCACUCUCAUUCUCUCUCACUCACCUGUGAACUAUUUAGAGCCGCGAGGCUCAAGUGGACUUCGGUCUGCGAAAAUACCUUUUUACUCGUGUCUAUAGAAUGUAAAUUUCUUUCCUUCAAUGGAUUGAAUUAUUAUCAUAUAACUUUCAACGACGGAUCUCUUGGUUCUCGCAUCGAUGACGAACGCAGCGAAUAGCGAUAUGUAAUGUGAAUUGCAGAUCUCAGUGAAUCAUCGAAUCUUUGAACGCACCUUGCACCCUUUGGUAUUCCGAAGGGUAUGCCUGUUUGAGAGUCAUUAUCAUCCUCAACUGGAAUAUUUGUUUAUUCCAGCUUGGAUUUGGAGGUCUUGCUGGUUGCAAAAUCAGCUCCUCUUAAAUGCAUUAGCGGUACAAGCAGAAUCGGCUUUGGUUUGAUAGAAAUAUCUAUGCUGUCGCUGAGGAACAUUAUGUGCAGCUUCCAAUUGUCUUCGGACUGUCUUUCAUUAGGCAUAUAUUGACUCUUGACCUCAAAUCAGGUAGGACUACCCGCUGAACUUAAGCAUAUCAGUAAGCGGAGGAAAAGAAACUAACAAGGAUUCCCCUAGUAACUGCGAGUGAAGAGGGAAAAGCUCAAAUUUAAAAUCUGUCAGUCCCUGAGGCUGUCCGAGUUGUAAAUUAGAGAAGUGCUAUCCGCGUUGGCCUGUGCACAAGUCUUUUGGAAAAAAGCAUCAUAGAGGGUGAAAAUCCCGUCUAUUGGCACAGACUCCCAGGGCUUUGUGAUGCGCUCUCAACGAGUCGAGUUGUUUGGGAAUGCAGCUCUAAUUGGGUGGUAAAUUCCAUCUAAAGCUAAAUAUAGGCGAGAAACCGAUAGCGAACAAGUACCGUGAGGGAAAGAUGAAAAGAACUUUGGAAAGAGAGUUAAACCGUAUGUGAAAUCGUUGGAAGGGAAACGCUUAAAGUCAGUCGUCUUUGUCGGGGAUCAGCUUGGCACUUGUGUCUUGCGCACUUCCCGGUAGAGGGGUCAGCAUCAAUUUAGAUGGUUGGAUAAAGGCUUGGGGAAUGUGGCAUCCUCGGGUGUGUUUAUAGACCCAGGUCGGAUACAAUCGUUUGGAUUGAGGAACUCAGUGUGAACUUGGGGCUUCGGCUCACAACCCGCACUUAGGAUGUUGGCAUAAUGGCUUUAAUCGACC
This 1246-nucleotide ribosomal RNA is filed under the name uncultured fungus. RNAcentral describes it as "eukaryotic LSU rRNA". The stretch from base 579 to 1246 matches the Rfam family "Eukaryotic large subunit ribosomal RNA", at positions 1 to 649 of the family's 3401-position model. Lineage: Eukaryota; Fungi. The record is from RNAcentral.